UACGGGGGGGGUAAGCGUUGUUCGGAAUUACUGGGCGUAAAGCGCGCGUAGGCGGCUUUGCAAGUCGGGUGUGAAAUCCCCAGGCCUAACCUGGGAACUGCAUUCGAGACUGCAUGGCUAGAGUAUCGGAGAGGGAAGUGGAAUUUCAGGUGUAGCGGUGAAAUGCGUAGAUAUCUGAAGGAACAUCAGUGGCGAAAGCGACUUCCUGGACGAAUACUGACGCUCAUGUGCGAAAGCGUGGGGAGCAAACAGG
This 253-nucleotide ribosomal RNA is filed under the name uncultured bacterium. RNAcentral describes it as "partial 16S ribosomal RNA". It matches the Rfam family "Bacterial small subunit ribosomal RNA", at positions 524 to 776 of the family's 1533-position model. The record is from RNAcentral.